GACGAACGCUGGCGGCGUGCUUAACACAUGCAAGUCGAACGGAAAGGCCCUGCUUUUGUGGCGUUCUCGAGUGGCGAACGGGUGAGUAACACGUGAGUAACCUGCCCUUGACUUUGGGAUAACUUCAGUAAACUCGGGCUAAUAUCGGAUAGGAGCUCCUGCUGCAUGGUGGGUGUGGGAAAGUUUCGGCGUUUGGGGAUGGACUCGCGGUUUAUCAGCUUGUUGGUGGGGUAGUGGCUUACCAAGGCUUUGACGGGUAGCCGGACUGAGAGGGUGACCGGCCACAGUGGGACUGAGAUGCGGGCAAGACUGCUACGGGAGGAAGGAGUGGGGAAUAUUGCAAGAUGGGCGGAAGCCUGAUGGAGCAACGCCGCGUGCGAGAUGACGGUCUUCAGGUUGUAAACCGCUUUCGCCUGUGAAGAAGCGUAAGUGACGGUAAUGGGUAAAGAAGCACCGGCUAACUACGUG
RNAcentral lists this ribosomal RNA (468 nucleotides) under uncultured bacterium. Its description in RNAcentral is "partial 16S ribosomal RNA". It matches the Rfam family "Bacterial small subunit ribosomal RNA", at positions 28 to 507 of the family's 1533-position model. The record is from RNAcentral.